Long non-coding RNA from Vicia villosa (hairy vetch), 3546 nucleotides. RefSeq lists it as uncharacterized. Lineage: Eukaryota; Viridiplantae; Streptophyta; Magnoliopsida; Fabales; Fabaceae. The record is from RefSeq and is a predicted model, not a curated record. The transcript is spliced from 2 exons.
CAAGAAGGAGAGAGGCGUUUGCCGCUGGUCGCGAAAUGAGAGGGAGAGUCCGGCCGCCGUCCGCCGUACCGAGUUGAGAAGAGAGGGAGAAGAAGACAUUCCAAUCACUUUCAGCGUUGCUCGUGUGGUUAUGCUCGACGCGUGCCACAUGUCGCUUGUAACUUUGCUUGAUGAUGGCUUUCACGACGACGCUUUCCGACUCGCUGUGCUUGAUGAUGGCUUACGCAAAGUAUUUCGGACUUCUCUGCUUACGCUUGCUAGCUCAUUGCGGAUUUGCUAUCCGUUUGGUAUUGUCUCCUGGUCCCUUUUACCGCUUUCUCGCAUCAUCCUUUAACAUGAGAAGAAGGACCUAGACAUGCAUCUGGCCAAGCCCUCGAAAGAGGCUCUGUUUUUGUUGGUGUGUUUACAUUUGUGCUUUGCGGCAGGGAGUCACGGUGUAAUAAGUCCUAUAUGGCACUCCGUUAAGUCCUCAUGGAAGGCAUGCGGAAAGGGUUAGCAAUCAACCCCCGCCUAGUCUCAUCGAGUCCGUUCAGUAUGCGCACGCUACGCGUCGCUCGCUUCUGAACCUGCACAAGAUCUUGUUAUCGAGUAUGUCAGGAAAAGGGUUCAUGUAGCCGGACCCACGCCUUUCCUAUAGCUCGCGUCGCUCGACGUUGAUGCUCGGUGUACGCACGCACCGUUUUCCUUUAGGAUCCGUGACGGCUUGGUUGCUGAGAGGGAUCCGCUCCUCUUGUCUAUGGUCUGAUCAUUUUCGCGAGGUCUAAUGCUUGGUUGACUUGGGUUGAGCUGCUCCCCUUGGCUAUGGCGGGACCGCCUUUCUACCAUUCGGCCAGUGUCGUUGGUUUGUUUGCUUUACGAGCGGAUGCUCGUUUGUGUGCUAUUUGUUUGCUUUCGCUUCUCCCUGUAGGUUGAUUAGUUUAGUUUAGACUUGUACCCUUUGUAUGAUAACAUUAGGUAGCAAGCUUUCCCCCCUUAGCUUAGGUUUACCUCAUGCAUCUUUUAAAACACAAACCACACUCUUUGAUUUUCUUUUCUUAAGAGCUUGUUAUUUCCGCUCCAUUCCCAGCAUAAGUCUCCAAAGGUCGAGCAGCGGAGUGUGAAUGUAACUCGUUCACCUAAAAAACACAAAACAAACAGAAAUUAGUUAGCCGAGCUAUGGUAGCUCUGAUUCUGCAAAACAGAUACGUAGGCAGCGGGGUAGGGCCCGUGCGAGCACAAUACUUUCUUUUCCCUACAUUCUGCAUUCAUUUUAGUCCAGAUUAGCGUAGUUUGCUUACACACCCAUAGUUUUAGACACAGACGUGGAUAUCAUCGAGUACGAUGGGCGCGAGGGGUGCUAACACCUUCCCCUCGCGUAACCGACUCCCUUACCCUUUUUCUCUGGUUGUGAGACCAUUGUUUUGUUUUGUGGUUUGCUGGCAUUCCCUUCCUUUUCAGGAUAAAUAUGUUAGUGGCGACUCUGUUAAUUUUCGCGGUAGCGACACCAGGUAAAAUAUUUUACUCCAAAAUAUAUAUAAAAAAAACAUUUUAACAGUUUUCCAACACAAUUACAAUUCCACAACAAAACUUCUCACCAGAACUUUAUAUUAGAACAUAGAACCUGCUUUUAAAGAAAUAGAGUCAAAAUAUUGUGGUAAAAAUUAUAAACAGAAUAUUUUUUUAACUUACUAGAUCCAACCACAGAUCCAAAGAAACAGAGUCAAAAUAUUGUGGUAAAAAUUAUAAACAGAAUAUUUUUUUUAACUUACUAGAUCCAACCACAGAUCCAAAGAAAUAGAGUCAAAAUAUUGUGGUAAAAAUUAUAAACAGAAUAUUUUUUUAACUUACUAGAUCCAACCACAGAUCCAAAGAAAUAAAGUCAAAAUAUUGUGGUAAAAAUUAUAAACAGAAUAUUUUUUUAACUUACUAGAUCCAACCACAGAUCCAAAGAAAUAGAGUCAAAAUAUUGUGGUAAAAAUUAUAAACAGAAUAUUUUUUUAACUUACUAGAUCCAACCACAGAUCCAAUUUUUCAGCUACAACUACAUAACCAACUAUCAUACAUUUCAAGAAACAAAAAUUCACAAAAAUAAUAUAUAAUGUUAGAAACAGUAGUACUGAGAAAUACAACUAAAAUAAAAAAUAAUAAUUAAUUUGUUAGUAAAAAAUAGAUCAAUAAAAAAAUACCAAACCAAAAAUCUUAACUCUUACCUCAGAAGAAUAAAUGGUACCGAAACAUGCAUAUAAAAUCAACUGUCCUGAAUCUACACCAAGGAGAAUAUAAAACUUAAAAAAAAAAUAGGAGAUAACAAAAUAAAAAAGAAAAACAUAAAAUGAAAACUAAAUAUAAAUGAAUAAAUUGAUAAGUAAAGUUUUAAAAGGAACUAAGGAGUAAAUAACAGUUUUAUCUGAUAUACUUACUGUCUAGUGUGUAGAACAUCCACACAACUAUUCCUUCAAAUUAAUUUUUCCCUGCAAAAAAGAUAAAGUACUAAAGGAAUAUCAAAAGAAUAUCAAAAGAUAAAAACCCUAAUCACAAAAUUUGUUAUAAACCCUAAAUCAUUUAAAAAAAACUCUAACUUUAAUAACAAACCUAAGAUGAUGAAAAAUGAUAAAACAAAAAUUAUUAAUAAGAGUAUGGAGACAAAGAGAAGGUGAAUACAGAUUGUUGUUUUUCGGUUUAAGAAAAUAAUGCCACAGAGGAAAAUAUCGGCUGAGUCGCGGAUCAGUAUGCUUUCUUUAAGACGUUUCGCGGUACUGCCAGAUUUAUGCAAAGCAGCUCGUAAAUACCCACGACGCCUUAGGAUAAAACAGCUCGUUUCAAUACGAUUCACACUUGCACGUGUGAUGAAUCAUUCUAAAUGAUACACCUUCUGAUGGUUAAAAACCAGUCUUAGUAUAUAGAAUAAAUCCAAUCGAAAAAGAAAAAAUAAUUUUUAGAUGAAGCAGAGUAAGAGAGAGAGGAGAGAAUUCAAAAUUGAAUUCUGGAGUGCAGAACAAAUGAAUGGAACGAAUGUAUUUAUAGGCAAAAAAUAUCCAACGGAGUGGACCAAAACGUGGGCGAAAAUAUAGCGGAGAGUUGAACCGGCCCAGUCAAUAUAGCCGUUAUUUACUUGGUCAGCAGACUUGGAGGACAAGUAAACCUAGUCAAAAUCUAGGUUAAGACUUGGUCUAGGACACGUCACCAAUUCGUAUUAAUUAAUAUUAAAUAUUAAUUAAUUCCAUAUUUAAUAUUAUUUAAGUUUUACCGAAUUAAUUAAUUAUUCAAUGAUAAUUGAUUUCCAUUAAUUCGGGUUCCAAAAAAUUAAUUCAUGUAGACCGGACCGGACCGCCGGCGGAGGCGGCGCGCGCGCGUCUUCUUGGCACAUUGGUGUGUCAUCACUCAUUUAUAAAAUUGUAGGUGCCCUUGGGCCCAACAACAAUUGUCCAAGUUGGAAUAUAUAUACACUACUAAUAUUUGUGUUCCCUCCAAUGUGGGACUUAUAAAUGAAUCUUUUCAAAUUCAUGUCUAUAUUAGCUCUUACUGAUGUUCAUUUAUUGUUCAUUUAAUGUCAAUAAAUAUUUCCAA